UUGUUAUCAUCGGGGUUGAUCAUCUAGAAUUUUUCAUCCUUGACCAUGCAGUUUGAAAACCAGGGUUAGUCUUGCACUCUUCAAGGCAUACUUCUUGGAGCCUGCAUAUUUUAUAUAGUUCUCAACUAUCUAAGUACUUCAGUCUUAUGGGACAGGGACCUUGUCCCAUGAUCCUAGCUAUCAGCAACCACACAUCUUUGAAUUUACCAUCCCAAGGCAUGCACAAGGACAUACAAGCUCUCCUCG
This 246-nucleotide long non-coding RNA is filed under the name Gossypium barbadense (sea-island cotton). Its description in RNAcentral is "long non-coding RNA (GBAR_LNC013787)". The record is from RNAcentral. Lineage: Eukaryota; Viridiplantae; Streptophyta; Magnoliopsida; Malvales; Malvaceae.